Molecule: small nucleolar RNA, 80 nt
Organism: Tripterygium wilfordii
Lineage: Eukaryota; Viridiplantae; Streptophyta; Magnoliopsida; Celastrales; Celastraceae
Product: small nucleolar RNA Z199
Exons: 1
Source: RefSeq, a predicted model, not a curated record
GAUCAUCUGAUGAGAAACAAAAACUGCAACAAUAUGAUGGACAUGUUCCAUGAUUAUUCGUAUUUAAGUCUCUGAUGAUC